GAUGAACGCUGGCGGUAUGCUUAACACAUGCAAGUCGAACGGACUCUUCGGAGUUAGUGGCGGACGGGUGGGUAACGCGGGAGAAUCUGGCUUUGGGUUCGGGACAACCACUGGAAACGGUGGCUAAUACCGGAUGUGCCGAGAGGUAAAAGAGAAAUUGCCUGAAGAUGAGCUCGCGUCUGAUUAGCUAGUUGGUGAGGUAAAGGCUCACCAAGGCAGCGAUCAGUAGCUGGUCUGAGAGGAUGACCAGCCACACUGGGACUGAGACGCGGCCCAGACUCCUACGGGAGGAAGCAGUGGGGAAUUUUCCGCAAUGGGCGAGAGCGUGACGGAGCAAUACCGCGUGAGGGAAGAAGGCUCUUGGGUUGUAAACCUCUUUUCUUAGGGAAGAACAAAAUGACGGUACCUAAGGAAUCAGCAUCGGCUAACUCCGUG
RNAcentral lists this ribosomal RNA (435 nucleotides) under uncultured bacterium. RNAcentral's name for it is "partial 16S ribosomal RNA". It matches the Rfam family "Bacterial small subunit ribosomal RNA", at positions 28 to 507 of the family's 1533-position model. The record is from RNAcentral.